Molecule: long non-coding RNA, 1039 nt
Organism: Dromaius novaehollandiae (emu)
Lineage: Eukaryota; Metazoa; Chordata; Aves; Casuariiformes; Dromaiidae
Exons: 2
Source: RefSeq, a predicted model, not a curated record
AGUGAGGCUUGGUUUUGAAUUUUUAUAUUAAAUUGUGCCUAUUCACUUAAUCAUUAAGAAUUAAAACUACCAGGAAUAUGUAAACCCAAACCACCUUAUCUGCAUAUGCUUAUCUACAUAUAAAUACCCUGAAAUAAACUGGAAGAAAAAUAUUUGGAAACUCAGUAUUUAGGUGUGUGAAUUGUUUAUCCUGUAUAAGGAACAGUCAGUAAUUAUUCUUAAACUCUGUUCUCAAACACAGAUCUAAGAACUUCUGGACUUAACAGAAGUCAGUCUGGAUUCAGGUUUUACCAUUAGUGUCAUUUCAGUAAUGGGAAGACACAAAACCCCGUUUGCAAACCUCAGUGAUGAACCCGGCAAAAGUUUGUAUCUUGGUCAAUCAGUUUCAGUUUCCUGCAUGACAUUUAUUUACAAAGCUGGGACACAGUGUUGGCAGCCUCCAGGACGCCAAGAAACAGAGCACUUUCGACUUCCACUUCAGCCAAUGGAAAUUACAAAAGGUACAUGAGAGUAACCAGCAUCCAGAACUACUACCAUCUAUUUUCUUCUUGACAGAGAUAAUCAGUAGGAUACAUCUUAGGAUUAAGUACUACAACAAUAACAAGGCAGAAAUUUUUCUGAUUAAUUCAAGUUACGUUGCCAAAAACUUGAAAAAUCAAACAAAUAUAUCAAAGUUUGUGUAAGACUUGAUGAAUAUCUGAGGAUUAAAGUGUUAAUUUACAUACAUAGCCUUUCCACCAUUACAGCACUUAAUAGUAUAAUGCAUUUAAUAUUUGUGGCUACUGAAUUAACAUUUUUAUUACAUUAAAAUGCAUUUCUUGUAAAAAAAACAGUUUCAAGCUAUUUUGGUCUAUUUCCAGUUUAACUUAAACUAAACUAAUCACAAAAUACAGAUACAUUAUCAGCAAAUGUGAUAAAAGGUUGAAAUCCAUUGUCAAAAAGAAUUUGUAUUCAUAUAGAAACACAUAUUCUUUGUGUAUGGUGUUAUCACUUAAAAAAUACGCUUAAUAAUAAUAAAUAAAUGCUUUAUUCAAUUAAA